RNAcentral lists this long non-coding RNA (1949 nucleotides) under Gopherus agassizii (Agassiz's desert tortoise). RNAcentral describes it as "lncRNA (ENSGAGG00000006311.1)". The record is from RNAcentral. Lineage: Eukaryota; Metazoa; Chordata; Testudines; Testudinidae.
UCCAGAGCUAACAGGAGCGACCCCCAGUUAUUCCAAGGUAUUGCUAGGGGGCAAGGAGUGGGGCACGGGACCUUUCCCCUCUAGGGGGCGCUGGCCCUGAUCCAGUUCCCGGGCAGGGACUGGCUGGCUCAGGGUGCGAGUGGCUCUGUGUUAUUUCUAUUCCCAGAUCCUGGCACCCUGGUGGUGAACGGGUCACAGCUCACGGCCCGGGAGGGCGACUCCCUGCGGUUCGUCUGCUCUGUCGCCAGCAACCCCCCCGCUGUGCUGGGCUGGGUGAGGGGGGGCCGAGCCAUCGAGGGCACCUGCCCCACANCAGCUCACGGCCCGGGAGGGCGACUCCCUGCGGUUCGUCUGCUCUGUCGCCAGCAACCCCCCCGCUGUGCUGGGCUGGGUGAGGGGGGGCCGAGCCAUCGAGGGCACCUGCCCCACAGAGGAGAAUCAGCUGCGGCUGGAGCUGCCCAACGUGACGGCCGAUGACAGGGGGCUGUACGGGUGCUGGGCCCAGAACAAGGAAAGCUCUGCCCAGGGGACGUUCCAGCUGCUCGUCGAGUGUGCGGAGGAGGCUGGCAAGCUGCUGGGUGUCGGGGUGGCCUGUGGGCUGGGGGUCGCCAUCGCCUUCUUCCUUCUCGGGCUCUGUGUGAUCAAGCUGCGGGGCCGGGAGCCGGCGCUCCCCAGCGCUGAGGCCGGGGACAUGGCUAAUGGGAGUCAGGCCGAGCACACAGCCGACGACGCCAGCCUGAUCUACAGUAACGUCACCACCAUCCCCAUGGAUCACAAGACUCCAGACAAAGACGUUCAGGACGGGGCUGCAGCAGCCCAUUCCCCACUAGGCCCCAGGGAACCGGACGAGCUGCAUUAUGCCACCAUUGACUUCUCCAAGCUGCAGCACAAACGGGGGGAGCCUGCGGAGGCCCCCGCCACGGAAUAUUCCGAGGUCCGGCUGAAAUAGCCCCCUCGUGCCAUGGGCCUAGGCUGGGCGUCUCCAGCCUGUCCAGUGAGGGAGGGGGUCAAAGUGAGAGGGAAAUGCAGCAAGGGGUCAGCCCUGAGUUGGAAACCUGGGUGCAAAUCCCUGCUCCGCCCCAGACUCUGGGCAGUCAAGUAGGCCUUGGAGAGGCUGGAGUGCUGCAUUGUGGGGUGGUAUCCCAGAGUCCCCUGCAGCCGGGUCCCAAAGCCUGCCCCCUCCCAAACCCCACUGCCCCCGGGGGAAAGAGCCUCUCACCCCCCAGCCCCAGAGAGUCUCUCUUCUACCCUGCCUGAGCCCUCACCCACUCGCUUCACAGAUGGGCAGGAUGGUCACACUCAGGGGCAGCAGCUGGCGGGAGCUGGGAUGACCAGACAGUAGGUGUGAAAAAUCAGGAGAGGGGGUGGGGGUAAUAGGAGCCUAUUCAGUUUCUCCUCACUUAACAUCCUCCCGCUCGCCGUUUUUUCCAAGUUACGUCGCUGCUCCCUUAGGGAACGUGCUCCUGUAAAGCUGUGUGCACCACGCUCCCUUCUAACGGGGUUUGGGGGACUUUACAAGUUCCUCUUCUCCACCUCCCCCCCUUCCUCCCUGCCUCCCAGUGCUUCUCCUUCAAAGCCGGAGGGAGAGAAGCGGCCGUUUGAAGGGGAAGUGCCACUUCUCUCUGGCCGCUGGCUGUGCAGCUGCCCCUGCUCCGCCCUGGGCCGGAGGCCUCAGGGCCACUUUCCAAAAGGGGCUUCAGAGCUGUAGGCCAGGGCCCGGGGCCCCCUUAGCCCAGGGACUUGCAGCCCCUAAAGCCCCUGCAUUCCAAGUGCCCUGCCUGCUGGGGGGGUGGAUCCCAGAAUCACGGCCAUGGGGGCGGCGCAGCGCUGCACAGAGCCACCUGCACACCCCCUGCACCAAACAGCAGCUGCCCCAGGGUAAGUGCUCUGCACCUCCUGCCUGCCUCAGCCUGGAGCCCCCUCCCGCAUCCUAAUUCCCUCCUAGACCC